Molecule: ribosomal RNA, 94 nt
Filed under: Escherichia coli
Lineage: Bacteria; Pseudomonadati; Pseudomonadota; Gammaproteobacteria; Enterobacterales; Enterobacteriaceae
Description: partial 16S ribosomal RNA
Rfam family: Bacterial small subunit ribosomal RNA
Source: RNAcentral
UUAAAUUGAAGAGUUUGAUCAUGGCUCAGAUUGAACGCUGGCGGCAGGCUUAACACAUGCAAGUCGAACGGUAACAGGAAGAAGCUUGCUUCUU